GUUGGAUGGGGAGCAUCGCUGCACAGCUAUUUUCAGGUCUCUCCAGAGAUGUUAGAUCGGGUUCAAGUCCAGGCUCUGGCUGGGCCACUCAAGGACAUUCAGAGACUUGUCCCAAAGACACUCCUGCGUUUGACUUGGCUGUGUGCUUAGGGUCGUUGUCCUGCUGGAAGGUGAACCUUCGCCCCAGUCUGAGGUCCUAAGCGCUCUGGAGCAGGUUUUCAUCAAAGAUCAAUUUCAAGUCAAAAAGCAAAGGGGCUGAAUACUUAUGUAAAUAAGGUAUUUCUUUUUUGUUUUCAUUUUGUCAUUAUGGGGGAUUGUGACGUCAUUGUGGGGUAUUGUGAGGUCAUUAUGGGGUAUUGUGAUGUCACUAUGGGGUAUUGUGUGUAUAUUGAUGUGUUUUUAUUUUUUAUUUAACCCAUUUUAGAAUAGGGCUGUAACGUAACAAAAUGUGGAAAAUGUCAAGCGGUCUGAGUACUUUCAGAAUGCACUGUAUGUAUUAUGUUAAUAAAUUACCCCGAGAAAUAGUAAUAAUAAUAAUAAACAUAUAUAUAUAUAUAUCCUAUAUAAAAAUAUUCCUCACAAAAGUAGCACACUGGACCUUUACUAGUCCUGUAUUAACGGACCGAUAUAGCCAUCUGUAGCUAGGUCAAAUUAUUGCAUCUUGUUAUUAUAUUUAGCUACCUGUUUUUUGUUAUAAAUACGAGUUUAAUCAUAUAUUCUCAAUUUACGCAAGGUUACUACUAAUAGGCUACCUUUGACUUCCUGCAAAGCAAUAGAUUUACUUCAACCACUGGAAACUGCACACGCCUGACGCGUCUAAUAUUCGCGGGAGGAUGAGCACGUCAAGUUCAGUUUUUAUAAAUGACUCGUGUGAAAACUGGCGCACUGAUGUUUUGGGAGAUAUUCUGUGGGUAUGCAACGUUUCUAAAUGAGUCACCUGCGUCUCAAUAUGACUGACUCCAAACUACAGAUAAUAAUACAAACAAAAACAAUCCACGGACACUCAGGCACGAAAAUGGCGUGAUGCUAAAAUGGGUCUCUCCUGUCUUGUAAUUCUAUAUCUAUGUUGUUGCUAGAAUUGUUUACUUGUAUCCAUAACAACAGAAGUUCAACAAUGAUUUAGAACUUCCGAUAUUGUGCUUCUUGGCUGGAGUUUGGGUAAGUACAAAACAUUACCGAGGAGAAGAAGGUCUUUAUUAGUUACUGUAUGAAGCUAUGCCAUUACCGAGAAGGUCUUUAUUAGUUACUGUAUGAAGCUAUGCCAUUACCGAGGAGAAGAAGGUCUUUAUUAGUUACUGUAUGAAGCUAUGCCAUUACCGAGAAGAAGGUCUUUAUUAGUUACUGUAUGAAGCUAUGCCAUUACCGAGAAGAAGGUCUUUAUUAGUUACUGUAUGAAGCUAUGCCAUUACCGAGAAGAAGAAGGUCUUUAUUAGUUACUGUAUGAAGCUAUGCCAUUACAGAGAAGGUCUUUAUUAGUUACUGUAUGAAGCUAUGCCAUUACCGAGAAGAAGGUCUUUAUUAGUUACUGUAUGAAGCUAUGCCAUUACCGAGAAGAAGAAGGUCUUUAUUAGUUACUGUAUGAAGCUAUGCCAUUACCGAGGAGAAGGUCUUUAUUAGUUACUGUAUGAAGCUAUGCCAUUACCGAGAAGGUCUUUAUUAGUUACUGUAUGAAGCUAUGCCAUUACCGAGAAGGUCUUUAUUAGUUACUGUAUGAAGCUAUGCCAUUACCGAGAAGGUCUUUAUUAGUUACUGUAUGAAGCUAUGCCAUUACCGAGGAGAAGGUCUUUAUUAGUUACUGUAUGAAGCUAUGCCAUUACCGAGGAGAAGAAGGUCUUUAUUAGUUACUGUAUGAAGCUAUGCCAUUACCGAGGAGAAGAAGGUCUUUAUUAGUUACUGUAUGAAGCUAUGCCAUUACCGAGAAGAAGGUCUUUAUUAGUUACUGUAUGAAGCUAUGCCAUUACCGAGGAGAAGAAGGUCUUUAUUAGUUACUGUAUGAAGCUAUGCCAUUACCGAGGAGAAGGUCUUUAUUAGUUACUGUAUGAAGCUAUGCCAUUACCGAGAAGAAGGUCUUUAUUAGUUACUGUAUGAAGCUAUGUCAUUACAGAGAAGAAGGUCUUUAUUAGUUACUGUAUGAAGCUAUGCCAUUACCCAGAAGAAGGUCUUUAUUAGUUACUGUAUGAAGCUAUGCCAUUACCCAGAAGAAGGUCUUUAUUAGUUACUGUAUGAAGCUAUGCCAUUACCGAGAAGGUCUUUAUUAGUUACUGUAUGAAGCUAUGCCAUUACCGAGAAGGUCUUUAUUAGUUACUGUAUGAAGCUAUGCCAUUACAGAGAAGGUCUUUAUUAGUUACUGUAUGAAGCUAUGCCAUUACCGAGAAGGUCUUUAUUAGUUACUGUAUGAAGCUAUGCCAUUACAGAGAAGGUCUUUAUUAGUUACUGUAUGAAGCUAUGCCAUUACCGAGGAGAAGGUCUUUAUUAGUUACUGUAUGAAGCUAUGCCAUUACAGAGAAGGUCUUUAUUAGUUACUGUAUGAAGCUAUGCCAUUACCGAGAAGGUCUUUAUUAGUUACUGUAUGAAGCUAUGCCAUUACAGAGAAGGUCUUUAUUAGUUACUGUAUGAAGCUAUGCCAUUACCGAGAAGGUCUUUAUUAGUUACUGUAUGAAGCUAUGCCAUUACAGAGAAGGUCUUUAUUAGUUACUGUAUGAAGCUAUGCCAUUACCGAGAAGGUCUUUAUUAGUUACUGUAUGAAGCUAUGCCAUUACAGAGAAGGUCUUUAUUAGUUACUGUAUGAAGCUAUGCCAUUACCGAGGAGAAGAAGGUCUUUAUUAGUUACUGUAUGAAGCUAUGCCAUUACCGAGGAGAAGAAGGUCUUUAUUAGUUACUGUAUGAAGCUAUGCCAUUACCGAGGAGAAGGUCUUUAUUAGUUACUGUAUGAAGCUAUGCCAUUACCGAGAAGAAGGUCUUUAUUAGUUACUGUAUGAAGCUAUGCCAUUACCGAGGAGAAGGUCUUUAUUAGUUACUGUAUGAAGCUAUGCCAUUACCGAGGAGGAGAAGGUCUUUAUUAGUUACUGUAUGAAGCUAUGCCAUUACAGAGGUCUUUAUUAGUUACUGUAUGAAGCUAUGCCAUUACCGAGAAGGUCUUUAUUAGUUACUGUAUGAAGCUAUGCCAUUACCGAGAAGGUCUUUAUUAGUUACUGUAUGAAGCUAUGCCAUUACCGAGAAGAAGGUCUUUAUUAGUUACUGUAUGAAGCUAUGCCAUUACCGAGAAGAAGGUCUUUAUUAGUUACUGUAUGAAGCUAUGCCAUUACGUUUUCUUCACAUGAUAACAUUUGGUUUAAUAAAUAAUUUCCUUAUAACGGCGUAUCUCAUAAUAAAAUGAAGGAUUUUAUGUUUGUCAACAAUGGUGGACUGUGUUUAGGCUACAAAUAGAAAAUAAAAUGAAUAAUCACAUUAUUCUUUAUUGCAUUGCAAUUUAUUUCAUGAAAAUGUCGGGAUGUUACUGUACAGAGAACCAGGUAACCUGGGCCCUGGUCUAAUGUAGUGCACUAUAUAGGGAAUAGGGUAUCAUUGGGCACUGGUCUAAUGUAGUGCACUAUAUAGGGAAUAGGUUAUCAUUGGGUCCUGGUCUAAUGUAGUGCACUAUAUAGGGAAUAGGUUAUCAUUGGGCCCUGGUCUAAUGUAGUGCACUAUAUAGGGAAUAGGUUAUCAUUGGGCCCUGGUCAAUAGUAGUACACUAUACAGGGAAUAGGGUACGAUUUGGGACUGAACCUUGAUAGAUAAAAUGAUAUGUUGUUUUCCAGGGGACUGGCCAGCAGUAUGUCUAAGAACCGGGACACAGCUGUGGUGACAGUAGGCUUCGGUCAGGGUAGUAAGGUGGAUAGUGUGCCCAUGGGCAGCCGGAUGACCCACAUCCCAGAGGCCUUGACUGGGCAGCGGGGUCCAGGCAAUCCCCAGUCUUCAGGCCCGAGGCAUGGGCGUCUGAUGCACCAGAGCACCCUGUCACUAGGGGACCCACAGGGAUCUGGGACCAGCUACACAACCACACACACUCAGAGUUACUGUGGGCGGGAGGCCGAUGGCCAACCUCUGCUCUUCUUUCCCCGAGAUCCCGCCUACCCCUCCCAGCACACCAGUCAGCUGAACCUGAGUCACACAUCCACCAGCCAAUCACAGACACACAGCAGAGACAUCCAUAACCCCAAAGACAUCAUCCCGUUCAAUGUUCUUCAUAGGCUGGGUCAGAGUAAUUGGUCUCGUAAUCGCGAGGGUGAGGCCAUGAGAGAGGUGACCAAUCCCAAGGAGCCCACCCCCUACUGGACGACCUAUCGCAGUGAGCACAGGAGUCCUAGCCCCUCUCCCUCACCACACGACCCCACUGGUAGACCCACACUGUGGCAUCAACAUGAUAUACUGACAGGUGAGACCAGGACUCCAGCAGGUCCAGGUAACCCUAGGAGACAGUCUGGAGAGAGAGUCCUGUGGGCAACACGACGCUGGGAGACGGACUGCUGUUCCCUCCGACUCUACUAAACACACAAUUCAACUGU
This is an RNA transcript of Oncorhynchus keta (chum salmon), 4544 nucleotides long. RefSeq lists it as uncharacterized. Lineage: Eukaryota; Metazoa; Chordata; Actinopteri; Salmoniformes; Salmonidae. The record is from RefSeq and is a predicted model, not a curated record. The transcript is spliced from 9 exons.